GCUGCAGCCUGUACGCUGGAGAGGCAGGAAGCAAAACAUUUACAUUAGCGUGCAAUUUCAAGAUGGAAUCGAAACUCGAGAACAGGAGACAUGUGGAGCCAACCUAAGCCCUCGCCAUAUUUAACUAGGUUUCCCAAAAUCGGAGAGAGGAGGAGGAAGUGGGAAGUUGUCCUAAGAACGGACAGUUUUGCUGCCACUGACAGGACACUGAUCUGCUGUGAGCACUUCAAGACCGAGGACUUUGACAAGACCGGGCAGACUGUGCAGUUUAAAGAUGGUGUUUUGCCAUCCAUUUUCAGCUUUCCAGCACAUCUUCAAAGGUCGGUAGCAAUAAGAAGCACUACCACUUCAAGAAUAGUGGAAGACAACCUGCCAAUGGACUUGAUACCUGAUGUUGUGAGUAUUUGCAUGUGGAAUGUCACAAACUAAUCAGAGCAUCAUAUGGCUUGUAAUAUUAAAUCCUUUAUCUUGGUGGUACCCAGAAAGGUUUAUGUUGGUGUUAGUAAUCUAAGGGCAAUUUCAUACCUGAAAGUCUGGACCAAAGAGCUUGGCUUUGGUGAUUUCCUUGCAUGAAUGUCUUACAUUCAUAAACAUCAUGUUUGUGGCUGCCUGCUGCUCAAUCAGUUUUUUUUUUGUUUGUAAGAUAUGUUUUAUGAAGAUGUACACAUUACCUGAAAGUGUCACAAGCUAUUUUGAGUAUUUAGAAAAAAGGUGUUUUUGACUAUCUGUUUGCAGAAUGUAUCACCACUGAUACAGUCUAAAUUGUUUGAUAAUACUCGUAUAUCGUGUUUUUUUUAAGGUGGUAAGGUGGCUGGAAUAACAACCCCAAUGCCAGCCAGUUUAAGUAUAUAUUUAGAAAGCUGAUGGCCUGGUGUGGAGUUGUGGACCAUGCAGAGACAAUGUUACAGCACAGGAUGAGGCCGAGACCCUACUAGCGGUCAUCGACACCUCUACAAGCCUGUCAACUGUAUAUAUGUCCUCUGCAGCAAGAGAAGAUCUUCCCUUUCCGUUUGCUGACAUUCCUGCAUUAGUACAUGAUCACAGUUACCUUCCCGUCAGCUUCAAUUGUCUUCUGGACAAUGCUCUCGUGUACAUUUCAGGUAAAGGCUGACUGAUUAACCCAUCCCCUCCUGUGGGCCACCGGGAUACCUUGUUACUUGGCUACAUUUUUAAUAAACAUGUUUUAAAAUGUCA
Long non-coding RNA from Alosa sapidissima (American shad), 1194 nucleotides. RefSeq lists it as uncharacterized. The transcript has 3 exons. The record is from RefSeq and is a predicted model, not a curated record. NCBI's taxonomy places the organism in Eukaryota, Metazoa, Chordata, Actinopteri, Clupeiformes, Clupeidae.